UACGAGGGGGGCAAGCGUUGUUCGGAAUUACUGGGCGUAAAGCGUGCGUAGGCGGUUCGUUGUGUCUGUGGUGAAAGCCCCGGGCUUAACCUGGGAAUGGCCAUGGAAACUGGCGAGCUGGAGCGUGGCAGAGGGGGGUGGAAUUCCGCGUGUAGCAGUGAAAUGCGUAGAGAUGCGGAGGAACACCGAUGGCGAAGGCAGCCCCCUGGGCUAACACUGACGCUGAGGCACGAAAGCGUGGGGAGCAAACAGG
Molecule: ribosomal RNA, 253 nt
Filed under: uncultured bacterium
Lineage: Bacteria
Description: partial 16S ribosomal RNA
Rfam family: Bacterial small subunit ribosomal RNA
Source: RNAcentral